UACGUAGGGUGCAAGCGUUGUCCGGAAUUAUUGGGCGUAAAGAGCUCGCAGGCGGUUUGUCGCGUCGGCUGUGAAAACCCGGGGCUCAACCCCGGGCCUGCAGUCGAUACGGGCAAACUAGAGUGUGGUAGGGGAGACUGGAAUUCCUGGUGUAGCGGUGAAAUGCGCAGAUAUCAGGAGGAACACCGGUGGCGAAGGCGGGUCUCUGGGCCAUAACUGACGCUGAGGAGCGAAAGCGUGGGGAGCGAACAGG
This 253-nucleotide ribosomal RNA is filed under the name uncultured bacterium. RNAcentral describes it as "partial 16S ribosomal RNA". It matches the Rfam family "Bacterial small subunit ribosomal RNA", at positions 524 to 776 of the family's 1533-position model. The record is from RNAcentral.